GUGGGGAAUAUUGGACAAUGGGCGAAAGCCUGAUCCAGCCAUGCCGCGUGUGUGAAGAAGGUCUUCGGAUUGCAAAGCACUUUAAGUUGGGAGGAAGGGCAUUAACCUAAUACGUUAGUGUUUUGACGUUACCGACAGAAUAAGCACCGGCUAACUUCGUGCCAGCAGCCGCGGUAAUACGAAGGGUGCAAGCGUUAAUCGGAAUUACUGGGCGUAAAGCGCGCGUAGGUGGUUCGUUAAGUUGGAUGUGAAAGCCCCGGGCUCAACCUGGGAACUGCAUCCAAAACUGGCGAGCUAGAGUACGGUAGAGGGUGGUGGAAUUUCCUGUGUAGCGGUGAAAUGCGUAGAUAUAGGAAGGAACACCAGUGGCGAAGGCGACUACCUGGACUGAUACUGACACUGAGGUGCGAAAGCGUGGGGAGCAAACAGGAUUAGAUACCCCUGUAGUCC
RNAcentral lists this ribosomal RNA (450 nucleotides) under uncultured bacterium. Its description in RNAcentral is "partial 16S ribosomal RNA". It matches the Rfam family "Bacterial small subunit ribosomal RNA", at positions 354 to 796 of the family's 1533-position model. The record is from RNAcentral.